This is a long non-coding RNA of Balaenoptera ricei (Rice's whale), 816 nucleotides long. RefSeq lists it as uncharacterized. The record is from RefSeq and is a predicted model, not a curated record. The transcript has 3 exons. NCBI's taxonomy places the organism in Eukaryota, Metazoa, Chordata, Mammalia, Artiodactyla, Balaenopteridae.
AGCGGACUUUCUGAGGACCUCAAGCCCAGGACACAGCCUCUCAGAUAGCUCUGAGGGACUGUUCCCAAGAGGACCAUCUGACCCAGUGAGGGAGUAGUGAAUCUGCUUCCAUGUACGUCCUAGAGGUGGUCCUGGCUGCCAGCGGUUCCCCUGAUUCCUACUCUGUUUGCAGAAUCCUCAGAUCCUAACAGAGAGGCUGACCUCUGGCUUCCUGGGUGGGCUUCUCACCAGCAGUGUCACCUGCUCUGAGAAUCUAGGUACUCUUCCAUUCUCCCAACAAAAUGUCGGUGCUGGCUACUGGGGGUAUGGAGCCAAAUAAGGAAGACACGGCCCCUAAUCCCAUGGAACGCCCAGUUGUCGUAUUGUGAUUUAUAAUAAAUGUGUACUUGGCCUUUGUCCCCACUUCUGGCACAGACCUCUGAAGUUGGAAUUUCCCUUGGAAUUUUCUGUGAUGAGAGCGUUAAAGGUGUCUUUUGUUGUGUUGCUGUUGACUUCUGGACCACACCUAGGGAUGGAGGCUGGUUGCCAGGAGAGCCCAUCAUGUGAUUAUAAGUUUCAGUUCCACCCCCUGACCUCGGGGCAGGGGAGAGGCGAUGGCGAAUGAGUUCAAUCGCCAGUGGCCAAUAAUGUAAUCAAUCGUGCCUACGUCAUGAAGCGCCCGUAAAAGCCCAGAAGGACUGAGUUCGGAGAACUUCCGGGUUGGGGAACAUGGAGUUGCUGGGAGAGUGUUGCACCUAGAGAGGGCACGGAAGGUCCGUGCUCUUUCCCCACAUCUUGUCCUAUGAAUCUCUUCCUUCUGGUCGUUCCUGAGUUGUA